Picea glauca (white spruce) is the source of this 1070-nucleotide non-coding RNA. The record is from Rfam. NCBI's taxonomy places the organism in Eukaryota, Viridiplantae, Streptophyta, Pinopsida, Pinales, Pinaceae.
GAGAGGAAUGUAGUCGCUCUUCCGACGCAGGAGGGAGAGGAACGUAGUCGCUCUUCUGACGCAGUCUCUGGGUCCCCACUGACGCUGGGGUGCGAAAGCAUGGGGAGCAAACAGGAUCAGAUACCCUGGUAGUCCAUGCCGUAAGCGAUGAGUGUUCGUCCUUGGUUUGCCUGCCUACUAGGUAGGAUUAGGAUCAGGGGCCCAGCUAACGCGUGAAACACUCCGCCUGGGGAAUACGGUCGCAAGACUGAAACUCAAAGGAAUUGACGGGGGCCUGGACAAGCGGUGGAGCAUGUGGUUUAAUUCGAUACAACGCGCAAAACCUUACCAGCCCUUGACAUAUGAACAAGUGUGUCUGUCCCUAACGGGAUGGUGCGAAAAUUCAUACAGGUGCUGCAUGGUUGUCGUCAACUCGUGUCGUGAGAUGUUUGGUUAAGUCCUAUAACGAGCGAAACCCUUGUUUUGUGUUGCUGAGACAUGCGCCAACGGAUCAAUGUCAUCGCCCCUUCUCAAUGAAUCAAUAGGGUGAGGGAGAGGAAACUGAACCGCUCGCCCGAUAGAGGAGGGCGAGGCAAGCGCCUCUUUUUGAUUGAUGACACUCCUAUGAAGGCAGGUGCGUGCUGCACUCACAAGAGACUGCCAGUGAUAUGCUGGAGGAAGGUGGGGAUGACGUCAAGUYCGCAUGGCCCUUAUGGGCUGGGCCACACACGUGCUACAAUGGCAAUGACAAUGGGAAGCAAGGCCGUAAGGCGGAGCGAAUCCRGAAAGAUUGCCUCAGUUCRGAUUGUUCUCUGCAACUCGAGAACAUGAAGUUGGAAUCGCUAGUAAUCGCGGAUCARCAUGCCGCGGYGAAUAUGURCCYGGGCCCUGUACMCMCCGCCYGUCACACCCUGGGAGUUGAUUUCGCCCGAAGCAUCAGACCAAUGAUCACCCUAUCUAUAUAUGUUCCACUAGUGUGGCCCACGGAGGUUGGGGUGGUAUUAUUGACGCAUACCACGGUGGGGUCUUCGACUAGGGUGAAGUCGUAACAAGGUAGCCAUAGGGGAACCUGCGGCUGGAUCAAAUCCCUC